GCUGGCGCUGCGCCAGGGCCUGGGCCAGGGCCUGCUGCUGGCGGGCCUGCAAACGUUCCAGUCGGGCGGCCUGCU
RNAcentral lists this transfer RNA (75 nucleotides) under Pseudaquabacterium pictum. RNAcentral describes it as "Aquabacterium pictum tRNA-Ser". The record is from RNAcentral. Lineage: Bacteria; Pseudomonadati; Pseudomonadota; Betaproteobacteria; Burkholderiales; Sphaerotilaceae.